Molecule: ribosomal RNA, 837 nt
Filed under: uncultured bacterium
Lineage: Bacteria
Description: bacterial SSU rRNA
Rfam family: Bacterial small subunit ribosomal RNA
Source: RNAcentral
CCGGCGCACGGGUGCGUAACGCGUAUGCAAUCUACCUUAUACUGGGGUAUAGCCCGAAGAAAUUCGGAUUAAUCCCCCAUAGUACUGAUAUACCUCAUGGUAAUUCAGUUAAAGUUUCGGCGGUAUGAGAUGAGCAUGCGUCCUAUUAGCUAGAUGGUAAGGUAACGGCUUACCAUGGCUACGAUAGGUAGGGGGCCUGAGAGGGUGACCCCCCACACUGGUACUGAGACACGGACCAGACUCCUACGGGAGGCAGCAGUGAGGAAUAUUGGUCAAUGGGCGCAAGCCUGAACCAGCCAUGCCGCGUGCAGGAAGAAUGCCCUAUGGGUUGUAAACUGCUUUUAUUUAGGAAUAAACCUUUCUACGUGUAGAAAGCUGAAGGUACUGAAUGAAUAAGCACCGGCUAACUCCGUGCCAGCAGCCGCGGUAAUACGGAGGGUGCAAGCGUUAUCCGGAAUCAUUGGGUUUAAAGGGUCCGCAGGCGGGCGUAUAAGUCAGUGGUGAAAUCCUGCAGCUUAACUGCAGAACUGCCAUUGAUACUGUACGUCUUGAAUUCGGUCGAAGUGGGCGGAAUGUGUAGUGUAGCGGUGAAAUGCAUAGAUAUUACACAGAACACCGAUAGCGAAGGCAGCUCACUAGGCCUGGAUUGACGCUCAGGGACGAAAGCGUGGGGAUCAAACAGGAUUAGAUACCCUGGUAGUCCACGCUGUAAACGAUGAUUACUCGUUUUCGGCGAUAUACUGUCGGAGACUAAGCGAAAGUGAUAAGUAAUCCACCUGGGGAGUACGAUCGCAAGGUUGAAACUCAAAGGAAUUGACGGGGGCCCGCACAAGCGGU